Molecule: ribosomal RNA, 253 nt
Filed under: uncultured bacterium
Lineage: Bacteria
Description: partial 16S ribosomal RNA
Rfam family: Bacterial small subunit ribosomal RNA
Source: RNAcentral
UACGUAGGGUGCGAGCGUUAAUCGGAAUUACUGGGCGUAAAGCGCACGUAGGCGGCUUAGUAAGUUGGAUGUGAAAUCCCUCGGCUUAACCAAGGAAGUGCAUCCAAAACUACUGAGCUUGAGUACUAAAGAGGAUCGCGGAAUUCCCGGUGUAGAGGUGAAAUUCGUAGAUAUCGGGAGGAACACCAGUGGCGAAGGCGGCGAUCUGGGUAGAUACUGACGCUGAGGUGCGAAAGCGUGGGGAGCAAACAGG